Molecule: long non-coding RNA, 851 nt
Filed under: Gossypium barbadense (sea-island cotton)
Lineage: Eukaryota; Viridiplantae; Streptophyta; Magnoliopsida; Malvales; Malvaceae
Description: long non-coding RNA (GBAR_LNC022225)
Source: RNAcentral
AAAAACAAAAAAAAAACUCUCUUCCCCUCUCUCUCAGCCCUCAGGUCCGGCCAGGGUCCGGUCAUCAGCCACCGCGUCGGCCGCCGAUCUCUGGCGCUGGCACCACCGUCUGCAGUGGCCGGAAGAGGGGAAAAAACCCUAAUCGGUCUCUUCGACCGUUUUAAACCCAAAUCUGGGUUUGAAGCCCCGAAAAGCCAAUAGAAAACGUGAAAAAAAAAUCACGAAACCUUUCGGUUUUCGGCCACCGGUCCUUGGGGGUGGCUCCCUCAAUCACCUCGGCGUCGCUUCAGAAACAAAAAAAAAAGGUUGUUUCUUUCCCUUUUUUAUUCUUCUAUUAUUUGUUUGUAAAAAAAUAAAUAUAAUGGUAAAAAAAUAAGUAAAAAUUGCAAGUAUUAACCUUUGAUCGACUUUGCUCUCUGUUUUUGUGAAAAUAAUAUCCCUCUUUUUUAUUGAUCUGCCCAUCGGUCCUCUGUUACAGUGCAUUGAGAUUGCUUUUAUAGCAAUCGUGACAAAAAAGAAAAAGAAAGAAAUCUUUUUAGUAUCUGCUUGACAAGAUCUCUUUUUUCUUGUCAUAUUUGCUUUGUUUCCUUUCUCGAUGUGCAGGUACGAUCGGGUCUUGGCUGCGUGAGGAGCUAGGUGGCUGUGGCGCUUGAAGAUUUUGUUAGAAACUCUAGGGUUUCUGACUAUUGUUUUGGACCUGGUUAGUUCGGGCCUCUGUUUGGUUUGGGUCACUGUUUUGAAUUGGGCUAUGAAGGCCGAUUGUAAUUUAGGCCUUUUACCCGGGCCGAAAUCGGGUAUUAUACUAUAUGUAUGUAUUACUUCCAUUUUCCAAGAUGAUGUUUUUCUUUUUU